GAUGAACGCUGGCGGCGUGCCUAAUACAUGCAAGUCGAGCGAACAGAUGAGGAGCUUGCUCCUCUGACGUUAGCGGCGGACGGGUGAGUAACACGUGGAUAACCUACCUAUAAGACUGGGAUAACUUCGGGAAACCGGAGCUAAUACCGGAUCAUAUAUUGAACCGCAUGGUUCAAUAGAGAAAGACGGUUUUGCUGUCACUUAUAGAUGGAUCCGCGCCGCAUUAGCUAGUUGGUAAGGUAACGGCUUACCAAGGCAACGAUGCGUAGCCGACCUGAGAGGGUGAUCGGCCACACUGGAACUGAGACACGGUCCAGACUCCUACGGGAGGCAGCAGUAGGGAAUCUUCCGCAAUGGGCGAAAGCCUGACGGAGCAACGCCGCGUGAGUGAUGAAGGCCUUCGGAUCGUAAAACUCUGUUAUUAGGGAAGAACAAAUGUGUAAGUAACUAUGCACGUCUUGACGGUACCUAAUCAGAAAGCCACGGCUAACUACGUG
This 497-nucleotide ribosomal RNA is filed under the name uncultured bacterium. RNAcentral describes it as "partial 16S ribosomal RNA". It matches the Rfam family "Bacterial small subunit ribosomal RNA", at positions 28 to 507 of the family's 1533-position model. The record is from RNAcentral.